AUGAUGAGAUUGCAUGAUAGCAUCAUUAAAGAUUUAUCGGUGUACGAUGGGGAUGCGUUCCAUUAGGUAGUAGGCGGGGUAACGGCCCACCUAGCCUACGAUGGAUAGGGGUUCUGAGAGGAAGGUCCCCCACAUUGGAACUGAGACACGGUCCAAACUCCUACGGGAGGCAGCAGUGAGGAAUAUUGGUCAAUGGACGAGAGUCUGAACCAGCCAAGUAGCGUGAAGGAUGAAGGUCUUACGGAUUGUAAACUUCUUUUAUAAGGGAAUAAAACCUCCCACGUGUGGGAGCUUGUAUGUACCUUAUGAAUAAG
RNAcentral lists this ribosomal RNA (314 nucleotides) under uncultured bacterium. Its description in RNAcentral is "bacterial SSU rRNA". It matches the Rfam family "Bacterial small subunit ribosomal RNA", at positions 173 to 490 of the family's 1533-position model. The record is from RNAcentral.